GACGAACGCUGGCGGCGUGCUUAACACAUGCAAGUCGAACGGAAAGGCCCUGCUUUUGUGGGGUGCUCGAGUGGCGAACGGGUGAGUAACACGUGAGUAACCUGCCCUUGACUUUGUGAUAACUUCAGGAAACUUGGGCUAAUACCUGAUAGGAGCUCCUGCUGCAUGGUGGGGGUUGGAAAGUUUCGGCGGUUGGGGAUGGACUCGCGGCUUAUCUGCUUGUUGGUGGGUUAGUGGCUUACCAAGGCUUUGACGGGUAGCCGGCCUGUGAGGGUGACCGGCCACAUGGGGACUGAGAUACGGCCCAGACGCCAACGGGAGGCAGCAGUGGGGAAUAUUGCACAAUGGGCGGAAGCCUGAUGCAGCAACGCCGCGUGCGGGAUGACGGCCUUCGGGUUGUAAACAGAUUUCGACUGUGACGAAGCGUGAGUGACGGUAAUGGGUAAAGAAGCACCGGCUAACUACGUG
Molecule: ribosomal RNA, 468 nt
Filed under: uncultured bacterium
Lineage: Bacteria
Description: partial 16S ribosomal RNA
Rfam family: Bacterial small subunit ribosomal RNA
Source: RNAcentral